GAUGAACGCUGGCGGCGUGCCUAAUACAUGCAAGUCGAGCGAACAGACGAGGAGCUUGCUCCUCUGACGUUAGCGGCGGACGGGUGAGUAACACGUGGAUAACCUACCUAUAAGACUGGGAUAACUUCGGGAAACCGGAGCUAAUACCGGAUAAUAUAUUGAACCGCAUGGUUCAAUAGUGAAAGACGGUUUUGCUGUCACUUAUAGAUGGAUCCGCGCCGCAUUAGCUAGUUGGUAAGGUAACGGCUUACCAAGGCAACGAUGCGUAGCCGACCUGAGAGGGUGAUCGGCCACACUGGAACUGGGACACGGUCCAGACUCCUACGGGAGGCAGCAGUAGGGAAUCUUCCGCAAUGGGCGAAAGCCUUACGGAGCAACGCCGCGUGAGUGAUGAAGGUCUUCGGAUCGUAAAACUCUGUUAUUAGGGAAGAACAAAUGUGUAAGUAACUAUGCACGUCUUGACGGUACCUAAUCAGAAAGCCACGGCUAACUACGUG
RNAcentral lists this ribosomal RNA (497 nucleotides) under uncultured bacterium. Its description in RNAcentral is "partial 16S ribosomal RNA". It matches the Rfam family "Bacterial small subunit ribosomal RNA", at positions 28 to 507 of the family's 1533-position model. The record is from RNAcentral.